UUAAAGUAUAUACAUACUAACAUGCAUAUGCGCAUAUACGCCUAAUAAUAAAUAAUAUAUAAUAUUACAGUAGUAAAUAAAAUAAGACAAAAUAAUAGUAUGGCAUAAUUGUGAUAAAAAACUAAGAAAUGGGUCAAAUUGAAUUAAAAACGAAAGAAAUGGGCGGAUUUAGAAUAAAUUUUAAAAAAAGGACCCAAUUGAAUGCGCGCGCAAGGGUAGAGGACCAAAAGGGAAAAAAUCCGCCUCCCUAAAACGCUGCACAGUAAUGGGGACCAAUUUGAAACGAGGAAAAAACAUUCGGGCUAAAUUAAAAAGAGAUAACUGGCUUAAUAAAACAUGGCGCAAAGGGGAAGGACUUAUUGUGAAAUUAUUCCAUUUAAUGUUGACAUGCGUGAACCCCCAAAUAAACAGCGCCAUCAAUACUCUGCUUUGUUUUAAGUUUUUUUAAAAAAAGAAAAAAAUGCUAGGGAGACUUUCUUUUUCCCUGAAGCAAAGUCUGCUUCUUUUAGGGUUUUAUCAACCCUUCAACGCCGCCAUUCAGUUGGUGCCCAUGGCCUCCAUCGACGGAAAAGACGCCGGCCCGUCGACUCCGGCGACCAGGUGCGUGGAGAGUUUGGCAUGCGUGGAGGCCGAAACUUGCGGCGUCCGGAUGCUGCUGGAGGCGCUGAAGGCGGGGGGAGCUGCGGCGGCUACUGGCAAAUGCUGCUCCUUGCUGUUUAGGGCUAGGGUUCUUUGUUUUUUGUUUUGCUUUGAGCCACUUAUUGUUGGGCUGUUUUUAAUUUUUUUGGACCUGGGUCAAUUGGGCCCUAUUACAAAAGAAAUAUUAAAUAAAA
This is a long non-coding RNA of Gossypium raimondii (Peruvian cotton), 833 nucleotides long. RefSeq lists it as uncharacterized. The transcript is spliced from 2 exons. The record is from RefSeq and is a predicted model, not a curated record. Lineage: Eukaryota; Viridiplantae; Streptophyta; Magnoliopsida; Malvales; Malvaceae.